AUGGCGCAGAAAUCGCGCACGGUUCCCUCACAUCGACUAUCCCUUGUCGAGCUAGCCAAGCAACAGAAACUAUAUGAACCUAGCUCCGAUGACCAAGACUGCCCCAUAGUUAAAGCUAUAAGUAUACCAAAGGGUGAACUCGACAACGGUCCUCGCGGUUGGCGAGCGAGACAGUCCAAACUAGCUUAUUCAUAUUACCCAUUGGCGGCUUCACCGCGAACUGAUACAGCUUUAUGUCUGGGUACUAGGAUGGUAUCCAAAGAUGGAGACUUAUAUGAAGAAUUUAUCCCACCAGAACAUGCACUAGACCCCUCCCUUUGCCAAUUCCCUGACUUCUUACCGGACCUAUUAUCCGCACAUGAUCAGCUUGCCAAGAACAAUGGCGGCCACGUGACUUUCCAGGUCUGCACCCAUCCUGUAGGACCCUGCUACCGGAUUAGGGGAUGGCCCAUCCAUUUCAUUAUCGGCUGGAUGGGGGUUUAUCUGAAGAAUGUAUUUGGUAAACGAGCAAAAGUGAGCAAAUUUCCAACUCCUAAGCUUUGUCCAGGGAAAUUAUCUAUGGUGGGGACUAUGUUUAGGAUUCCACACGAUUUUGGCCCUGAAAAGGCGCACGAUUUCUUCGAGAAACACAAGAGUAUUGUGUGGUACCCCUCAAAUUUCUCUGACUUGGCUAGCACUCGUUGGCUGCAAAAAGCAUUCACCAUUUCCAUCCAUCGAGGGAUGCUACCGUGGAGAAGGUCCGAUUAUGAUGACGACUUGUGCAUUGUUGAGCCGUAUCAUCCCGACCGGGUGGCUCGACAAUUCAAAUUGGAUCAGCAAGUACCAUAUACUCCAUUGCGCAGUUUAUAUAUAAUAGAUGACAUUAGUGUUGCUUAUGCACACUGGUGGCAUUUAUUGCACUCGAAUCCGAAACAGCCUCACUAUAUUCCCAACAAAGAUUUUAUGGGCAAUUCCUCAGUGGCAUGGACAAACUGGUGGACCAUUUUCACCCAACCUUUCACCAGCGUUCUAGGCCAGCUUCGUCAAGGUAACAUGCACGGGCGAGAUUCCUAUGAAGAAAGGCUUGCCAAAUAUGUGAAUAAUGGGAAGAAACAUAUUUUUUCUCGCAAGAUUUUGGAAGGGGAUCUUGUCGUAGUAAAGAGGGUGUCUGCUGAACGGCAAGAGGAAUAUCUUGCAGCUAUUGAGGUGAGAGAAAUGCCGACAGUGAAUCAUUGGAGGGACAUCUUAAGAGGUUACCACUUGGAUAACAAUGCCCCGCCACCUUGGUUGCAACAGAAGCGGAAAAAUAAUCCAAAUGAUGUUGCUGCAAGAAGGAGGGUACUGACAUUUUGGUUGAUAGGAACUCAGAGGAACCUAGUCCAAAUGCAACAAUCUCUUCCGGUGGGGAGGAAAGACCUGCUGUAA
This 1404-nucleotide ribosomal RNA is filed under the name Triticum aestivum (bread wheat). Its description in RNAcentral is "partial small subunit ribosomal RNA". The record is from RNAcentral. Lineage: Eukaryota; Viridiplantae; Streptophyta; Magnoliopsida; Poales; Poaceae.